UUUGAACGCUGGAUUCAGUUGGUAGAUCUGGUCAAAAGUUGUCAUUUGAGUGAUGAAGCUGACUCUCCUAUUUGGACUUUGGAGGCGAAUGGAGUGUAUUCGGCGAAAUCUUUUUAUAAACAAAUCAACUUUUGGGGUGUGGUCUAUGAUAUUGGUGACAAGCUUUGGAAAGUCCUUUGUUCUCAAAAAAUACAUGUGUUUCUUUGGCUAGGUGCUUAUAACAAGAUUCUUACCCGUGAUAAUUUGGCUAAGAGAAGACCUGUAGAAAAUUUAACUUGUGUGUUUUGCUCUGAAAACGAAUAUGUGCAACACUUGUUAUUUGAUUGUGUGAUUGCAAAACGGGUUUGGGAUUUUGUCUCUGAAGCUUUCGAUUAUCCUUACAUCAACAGUUUCAAUGAUGUGUGCGCCUUGUGGUAA
Molecule: ribosomal RNA, 417 nt
Filed under: Triticum aestivum (bread wheat)
Lineage: Eukaryota; Viridiplantae; Streptophyta; Magnoliopsida; Poales; Poaceae
Description: partial small subunit ribosomal RNA
Source: RNAcentral